AUUGAACGCUGGCGGCAUGCCUUACACAUGCAAGUCGAACGGCAGCACGGGAGUAAUCCUGGUGGCGAGUGGCGAACGGGUGAGUAAUAUAUCGGAACGUGCCCAGUCGUGGGGAUAACGUAGCGAAAGCUACGCUAAUACCGCAUACGAUCUAUGGAUGAAAGCGGGGGAUCGCAAGACCUCGCGCGAUUGGAGCGGCCGAUAUCAGAUUAGGUAGUUGGUGAGGUAAAGGCUCACCAAGCCGACGAUCUGUAGCUGGUCUGAGAGGACGACCAGCCACACUGGGACUGAGACACGGCCCAGACUCCUACGGGAGGCAGCAGUGGGGAAUUUUGGACAAUGGGCACAAGCCUGAUCCAGCAAUGCCGCGUGCAGGAUGAAGGCCUUCGG
Molecule: ribosomal RNA, 390 nt
Filed under: uncultured bacterium
Lineage: Bacteria
Description: bacterial SSU rRNA
Rfam family: Bacterial small subunit ribosomal RNA
Source: RNAcentral